GUGAGAAUGGACAUGAAGCACCUGGAACAUUCUGGAACAUUCCUUACAAAUCCUGCACCAACACCACUAAUGAAGAGAAGUUGAAUGGAGAUAAAACAGGAGGUGCCAGCAUUAUGGGAUGGCGGUGUAAACUGUGUGCAUUUGUCGCAUCAUCAAAAGGAAUUUCGAUCAUUAUGGAGUGGUACUGUUGGUCAUGGAUAUUUAGUGUCCUGUGUUCAUUUAGACUGUCAUUGCUUCUUUAAGACCUGAGAAGGUCUGCACACACAUUUGUAUGGAUCCCACAGUUUGCAGGAAACUAAAGUGUGAAGGUGUGCAAUCUUUCAGAUGUAAAA
This is a long non-coding RNA of Clarias gariepinus (North African catfish), 332 nucleotides long. RefSeq lists it as uncharacterized. NCBI's taxonomy places the organism in Eukaryota, Metazoa, Chordata, Actinopteri, Siluriformes, Clariidae. The transcript has 3 exons. The record is from RefSeq and is a predicted model, not a curated record.